AGAAUUGAACUUGGUACCAAGUAGUUAACGUAAAUGCUUUAUUGCAGGGGUCGGCAACCUUUUCUGGAUGAUGGGCCAUUUUCAAAAAAACUUUUAAGCAGGCCGCACAGUCAUGCUUUUUUAUUCUUAAGCGGACCACACAAUGUUGUUCUCCGAACAACAUUGUGCAGUCCACUUAAAAAGAAAAAAUUCAGAGAACAAAAAAAGUUCCAGGGAUAGGGUAAAUAUUCAAAGGAGAAUCCUAGUCUCACUUCUAUGUGAACAUUUGUCAACCAGUCGUUUAUUGCCGAUUGAUGGUGAUAGUAGCCGAAUUCUCGCAAUCUGUAAAAAAAUAAUAAUAAUCAAUCAAUAAAUAUUUCAUAAUAUAACAAAUAAUAAUAAUAAAAAAUAGCCUUCCUAAUUUUUACUUUACCAUAUUAU
RNAcentral lists this long non-coding RNA (420 nucleotides) under Androctonus crassicauda. The record is from RNAcentral. Lineage: Eukaryota; Metazoa; Arthropoda; Arachnida; Scorpiones; Buthidae.